Oryzias latipes (Japanese medaka) is the source of this 522-nucleotide long non-coding RNA. RefSeq lists it as uncharacterized. Lineage: Eukaryota; Metazoa; Chordata; Actinopteri; Beloniformes; Adrianichthyidae. The record is from RefSeq and is a predicted model, not a curated record.
CCUCUUUCCCACUCUACUCGGGGGAGGGAGAGUGAUUCCAGAUUCCAGUUGGCUCAUCUGUGCUCCUGUCCUGGCCGUGGAUUUCGCCUCUGGCUCGUCCUUCUCCUGGGCUUCUGCCGGCCCCACGGCGCGCCGGGAAAAGACGACAAGCCAAGCAGAGCAAGUGUUCAUUAGAAAGAUGGAGGAAGUGGAUUUGCCAACAAACAAGUAGCUGUGCAGAGUGGAUGACGUCACUAGAUCUGCUAGGGAUUCCCCAAGGCUGAAGAGUUGGGGGCUGAAAUUCCACUGACAGGUAUAUAUGAACUCCACGCCGCGCAGCAACAUCAUCUCCCUCCAAGAUUAAUAUCAUCUGCUGCUCUGAACGUGUAAGGGGGAAGUCCACACUCACCGUCUGGAUCUCUAUCCGGUCAUCUCCGCCGUUGGGACUCACACGACUCCAUCAUCGCAGGGUGUCUUCGUCUUUACCUCCUAUUGAACCACCACGUCCAAUCAUCCUGGACAAUAAAUUCGUGAGUUUAUCCA